RNAcentral lists this unclassified non-coding RNA (253 nucleotides) under plant metagenome. Its description in RNAcentral is "partial contains small subunit ribosomal RNA, internal transcribed spacer 1, and 5.8S ribosomal RNA". The record is from RNAcentral.
UUUCCGUAGGUGAACCUGCGGAAGGAUCAUUACUGAGUUUUGGAUGAUGUUGUUCUGGUCUUUCGGGGCAAGUGAACGCUUCUCCCAAUCCAUCUUACACCUGUGCACCUAUCGGGGAAGACUUGGAUCUAAGUUGGGUCACGACGGCGAUCUACAGUCUCCUCUUUAUACCAAAUAACAGUUUUAGAAAGUCUUUUUUGCUUGAUGCAAACUUAAAUAAAUACAACUUUCAGCAACGGAUCUCUUGGCUCUC